UAGCCACAAACAACAAGCCACUAAUGCUUCCU
RNAcentral lists this non-coding RNA (32 nucleotides) under Rattus norvegicus (Norway rat). Lineage: Eukaryota; Metazoa; Chordata; Mammalia; Rodentia; Muridae. The record is from RNAcentral.